This 497-nucleotide ribosomal RNA is filed under the name uncultured bacterium. Its description in RNAcentral is "partial 16S ribosomal RNA". It matches the Rfam family "Bacterial small subunit ribosomal RNA", at positions 28 to 507 of the family's 1533-position model. The record is from RNAcentral.
GACGAACGCUGGCGGCGUGCCUAAUACAUGCAAGUAGAACGCUGAAGAGAGGAGCUUGCUCUUCUUGGAUGAGUUGCGAACGGGUGAGUAACGCGUAGGUAACCUGCCUUGUAGCGGGGGAUAACUAUUGGAAACGAUAGCUAAUACCGCAUAACAAUGGAUGACACAUGUCAUUUAUUUGAAAGGGGCAAUUGCUCCACUACAAGGUGGACCUGCGUUGUAUUAGCUAGUAGGUGAGGUAAUGGCUCACCUAGGCGACGAUACAUAGCCGACCUGAGAGGGUGAUCGGCCAAACUGGGACUGAGACACGGCCCAGACUCCUACGGGAGGCAGCAGUAGGGAAUCUUCGGCAAUGGGGGCAACCCUGACCGAGCAACGCCGCGUGAGUGAAGAAGGGUUUCGGAUCGUAAAGCUCUGUUGUAAGUCAAGAACGGGUGUGAGAGUGGAAAGUUCACACUGUGACGGUAGCUUACCAGAAAGGGACGGCUAACUACGUG